UGCAUCAUUUCAUAGUAUUGAAAAAUCUCACAUAAAAAAGGAGCAAAUAGGCCCAACCAAAGAAAUAACCAAGCUCAUUCUAAAGGAAAGUGCACAUUAUUAUAAAGAGGUGACUCUCCAGUUAUUCCAGCACCAGUUAGGAAAUGAACCCUCUACCACCCCUCCUCCCCCACUGAUGUGAGAUGCUCUCUUUACCAAAUAAUAAAGUCUUUUGUGAUUUGGUCAA
Long non-coding RNA from Erinaceus europaeus (western European hedgehog), 226 nucleotides. RefSeq lists it as uncharacterized. The transcript has 2 exons. The record is from RefSeq and is a predicted model, not a curated record. Lineage: Eukaryota; Metazoa; Chordata; Mammalia; Eulipotyphla; Erinaceidae.